GGUUUCUCAAGGCUACAAGGCCUUUGGGUUCUACGAGAGAUUGUGUUCCCUAUAAUAAUGAAAUUGCUAACGGCCCUGUGUGUGCCUUAUGUCUUGGCAAGAGGAUUGUUUCCUGUGCUUGGAUACCCAUUAGUAGUAAACUCUGCCGUGUACCGGUUUGCAUGGUUAGGAUGUCUCUGCUUGAGUGCAUUUUGCUUUUGCGCUAAAAGAUUCCAUGUUUG
This 221-nucleotide unclassified non-coding RNA is filed under the name Hevea brasiliensis (rubber tree). The record is from RNAcentral. Lineage: Eukaryota; Viridiplantae; Streptophyta; Magnoliopsida; Malpighiales; Euphorbiaceae.